RNAcentral lists this long non-coding RNA (524 nucleotides) under Homo sapiens (human). RNAcentral describes it as "HSALNT0006707". The record is from RNAcentral. Lineage: Eukaryota; Metazoa; Chordata; Mammalia; Primates; Hominidae.
CUGCCUUUCUCACUUGUACUACACAUAUACCUUGAAGACUAGCCAAGUGCAGUAGUGAUGAGAGAAGAAAGAACUGAAUAAGGAGUUCGAUCUGCAACUGACUGUGCACAAUCAAUUAAGACUCACUGCCUUCGGAGCAGCCUUUUAUGGAGUGGCGGAGAUGGGAUUUCACUACACUGUCCAGCUUGGUCUCAAACUCCUGAGCACAAGUGAUCCUCCCACCUCAGACUCCAAAACUGCUAGGAUUAGAAGCAUGAGCCACCACACCCAGCCAAGAAGCUUUUUAUUGCAAGUCAACCAACAAAGAGACAGGAGUCCAACUCAAAUCUGCCACCCUAUGCUGGCUUCAAGGCAGUAUUUUUAUUAGAAAAGUUCAGGGGGUGCAUUCUGAAAUUAGUAGGUGAUUGGUGGAAGGAAAGGGAGGUCUGGAAAGUCCUCAGGCAUGUGUACUUAUCUCUUCAUGCUUUCUCAUGGGUCCCAUGUGCAAAUUCAGGGGGAGUUAAUAAAAAACAUAUGGUGGAAAU